AAGUAAAGGGAGGAGAGAAGUCAAGGCGUCUGCAAAAAAGUACCUAAGGGGCCAGCAUGUGAGGCUUGCUAAAGAGGCUUUUGGAUUUCCUCAAGGAAGAUGCUGGUGAUCUUGAGUCAUUUCCAUACUUAACUGAGGAUGGAAGCCUGACAGUUAAGCAGGGAAUGGAGUGAGAGGGAGUGUGGCCAACAGACAUAAGUCUCAUGUGCAAGAUGUUUGUCGAUGGAAAGAGAUGUAGUGCAAGUCACAGAUCAUCUUUAUGACUCCUAUGUUUAUAUGCUGCUUGGAAAAGCCUCUCCUAUUCAGACUAUCAUAAGUAGGUACACUCGUGUGGCACCUGCUACUUGCUGUCCUCAACACCUGCGCAAUCCCCUUAGGACUAUGGAGAACAGCUGCAGCUAGCAGGUAAACAAGGAUUGUAUUCUCAAACUGCUGCGCAGUACGAACUGGAAGCAAGGAGGCAGGAGGUAUACAAGAAUGAAAGGACCUUAACAUUGAAAGUCUGGCUUCUGCCGUUUCUUUGGAAGUGCUUGUGAUAACUUUAGCUUUUGCUGGUUUGAGUUCCAUGAGUAGCAGCAGUGGUGACUGAGUCAAGGACAAAAAGACGUUUUAGCACAACUCCUCAUAUGUGCUAGCGUCAGAAUGAGGUUCUAUCCACCAAUGAGCCCAGAGGAGAGAUCAGAGGACAGCAUGCAUCAGAACACACCAACUCUUGGACUUUCCUGGUGGUGCAGUGGUAAAGAAUCCGCCUGCCAAUGUAGGGGACACGGGUUCGAUCCCUGGUCCAGGAAGAUCCCACAUGCCG
Long non-coding RNA from Delphinapterus leucas (beluga whale), 805 nucleotides. RefSeq lists it as uncharacterized. The record is from RefSeq and is a predicted model, not a curated record. Lineage: Eukaryota; Metazoa; Chordata; Mammalia; Artiodactyla; Monodontidae.